UAACGCAAAGAAUCUCAAUCUCCCCUUCGUUAUCCGCCCUUUCCGCUGCCCCUCUCCUUCUCUUUGAUAAUCGACUCUUCUAUCCUCCUUCAUUAUCUGAUCUCUCCCCUUCCCCUCUCCCUCUCUCUUUGAUAACGCCCAAAUCCGUGCUUUCCCCUGCCCCUCUCCCUCUCCCCCUCCCCCUCCCCAUCUCUAAAUUAAAUUGACGUUCGGACUCCUCGCUUCAGUUUCCCUCUCCCUCUCGCUAGCUAUCUCUAAAUUCAUCCUUAUUUCGACGAUCGAGCUCCUCACCUCAAUUCCUUCCGUUUUCAACCAUUGGCAAUGUAAGUAUGGAUAUUGGUAGUAACUGCUACGGCUUUCCAAUCCCUAUAAAUUAUGUUGUGAUUCUAUAAAUACCUUCUGCUUCAAUUUUGAUGGAACAAAGAAGGUUUUUUUUCCAAUUGUGUCGGAGAUUGAUUGGAGGAGUAGAAAGCUAUUAAGAUUGAUGUAUCGCAGGCUAUUGUAUGUGUUAUAGCGUUCCAGAUUGCAAAUUUUGGUGAGAGCAUGAUAGGUGCAGCACUACAAGAUAAGGAGGGUUUUCAAUGGCUCAACAACGACCUUGUCAAUGUAAUCAACAUCUCCAUCGGCAGCAUUCUGGCUUCUGAUGCAGCAGCUCAUUCUAAGGAGUUGACAGGGAUGACAUACCCUUGUUGACAUGUUAUCACGUUCCAUCAACCUAUGAGAACUCAUUGACGUUGACAUCCUUGUAUGAAGAGAAUAUCUCCAUGAACUGGAAGAGGGAGAAAUUCUGCUCCUGCUCAGCUUUCAGCAUCCACUGAGAAUGGAAGUAUUAUGCAAAAUUCUAAUAAGACUGUAAAGCCAUUCAGUGUGCAUCCCUUGCCUUCAUUUAUUCUCAGCCAUAAAAAAAACAGUGAUAAAAAAGAUGAUAAAUGAGGGUCACUCAACCAACAAGCAAGCAAUUGUUACUUCAAAUCGACUUUAUGACGAUGAAGAAGAACCAUCGAUUGAGGAGUAUUAUGAUGAUGAGGAGAGCUCUUAUGAAGUUAACAAAAAAAAUGAAGGUUGAGAAUUCAGAUCCUGAUUAUGUCCCUAGCGAAAAUGUUCCUACUACUGCUCAAGUCAAUUUUCUUUUGCUGCUAAGAUCAAAGACGAAGAAGAAGCAGAUAAAUUAUUUACUGAAGCUAUGGGCAUUCUUGCAGCUAUCUGGAAAUUUCAUCAGGAGAAUGAGUUGAGAUGUCUUAGUCUUAGAAGAAUAAAUGUCAAGUCAAUAAAUUUAGGUCUACGAGUUUGUGAAUCUUAUUGUUGGAAGUUUUUAUCAGCUUAGAUAAUGUGACAAAGAACUUAUGUUUAGAUCUUUAUGUUUCUUUAAUAUUGACUUUAUGAAUGAUACGGUUUGUGUGUUAAAUAUGAUAUAGUUUUCAAAUUUAUUACUUCAUUUUCAAAGCUUCACAAUUUUUUGUGUUGUUGCCUAUCCAAUUUUAAAUUUAUAUAAUGUAACAAACUCUUGUUGCCUUUUUAUAAUUGUAUGCAUAUACCCUUGAUUUAUCAAACCAAAUACUAUUUACAAGAGCAAAUUCGCUUUUGCGUAAGUGAUUGGGUGAUGAAACCAAAACUUACUUCUAACACUAUUUAUGUCUUCGAAUCUUUUAAGUCAAGAUUCGUUUUUUGGAAAACCUUGUUUUAUAAUGUAAAAACAUGAUAUUUAUGUGCAGUUACUUUUGUCUCUACUAAAAAUUUGCAGUCCUUUUUAUUUAUGCAAAUAGUCCACCAGUCAUCAUCCAUAAUUGUGUGUCAAUCACGAAUAGCUAAGUUAUCCACACAAAUCUUCUGCCCAUUUGAGAAAACAUAAGUUUCGGAUAACUGGGACUGAAGAAACAUCUAUCACGAGGAUUUUAGAGCACUGCAGGUCAGUCAUUCGCUAUGGAAUUUGACUAGAUUUUUAUCGAUGUACAUUUUCUUUUCAAAAGUAAUGAUUUAUAUAGUUUGUAUAGUAUUACAACAAUAGUUUUAUUACUGGUGCAAUUACAAUGUUGACUUAUUCAUAUCUCACAUUUCAAAAGAUUGAUAAUGUAUCAUCUGAUCGAGUUUCGGGAAUACGAUGUAUAUGUCGUUUGCUUUAAAUCAGCAUUGUGUGUUCUAUAUAUAUUGCUAACAUAUAUGUUACAUAAAGGUAUCUACAUUAAUAGAAACUAAAAUGGAUCAUUAUGUUACAAGCCUUCUUCGAUUCCAGGUUUCUCCGAACCAAUGCGGUCCAAAUAAGAGAGGCAUAUACGAGAUAGGAGAGCUUUUCUGCUCCAUAGCCUUUUUGUAGAUGUUGCAAUUUUUAGAGCGAUUGCUUCCAUACAGUAUGUAAUGGAAAAACGUAUUGCUUCUUCAAUUGAGAAAGAUGAAAUUUUGCACUUCGAGAUAGUAGGGGAUUUCAACAUUACUGUCACCAGAGAUACUUCAGAUGCAAGCUGCAAGUUGGAUACAAAGAUUGAUGGGAAUAGGAAAACGGGAAUGGACCGCAAACAUCUUAUAGAGAGAAACUUACUGAAAGGAAUCACUGCUGCUGAAAAGACAACAACUCAUGUGGGAUAAACUCUUAACUCUGUAUUCACUAUUAUUCUCUUUUAAUAAACUGUGAUACCAAGUGUUUUUCUUCUUCUUGUAUUCGUUGUUUCCUUUCUUUUCUUUUUUAUUCUUUCUUUUUUGUGAGGAAUUGUAUUCAUUG
RNA transcript from Asparagus officinalis (garden asparagus), 2713 nucleotides. It is a transcript of the gene named protein TSS-like, with no coding region annotated. The transcript is spliced from 7 exons. NCBI's taxonomy places the organism in Eukaryota, Viridiplantae, Streptophyta, Magnoliopsida, Asparagales, Asparagaceae. The record is from RefSeq and is a predicted model, not a curated record.